UGCGGGAUAUUGCACAAUGGGCGAAAGCCUGAUGCAGCGACGCCGCGUGGGGGAUGAAGGCCUUCGGGUUGUAAACUUCUUUUGCUCUGAACAAGGCGCACCAUGGGGUGUGUUGAGUGUAGGGGUUGAUUAGCGCCGGCUAACUACGUGCCAGCAGCCGCGGUAAUACGUAGGGCGCGAGCGUUGUCCGGAAUUAUUGGGCGUAAAGGGCUUGUAGGUGGCUGGUUGCGUCUGUCGUGAAAGCUCAUGGCUUAACUGUGGGUUUGCGGUGGGUACGGGCUGGCUUGAGUGCAGUAGGGGAGGCUGGAAUUCCUGGUGUAGCGGUGGAAUGCGCAGAUAUCAGGAGGAAUACCGGUGGCGAAGGCGGGUCUCUGGGCUGUUACUGACACUGAGGAGCGAAAGCAUGGGGCGCGAACAGG
RNAcentral lists this ribosomal RNA (419 nucleotides) under bacterium. Its description in RNAcentral is "partial 16S ribosomal RNA". It matches the Rfam family "Bacterial small subunit ribosomal RNA", at positions 355 to 776 of the family's 1533-position model. The record is from RNAcentral.